This 507-nucleotide long non-coding RNA is filed under the name Homo sapiens (human). Its description in RNAcentral is "HSALNT0094315". The record is from RNAcentral. Lineage: Eukaryota; Metazoa; Chordata; Mammalia; Primates; Hominidae.
CUGUUCUUCAACAGUCCAACACAAGAGAAGCCAUGCCAGUUCAUCCCUCCCUCAUCCUACUGCUGCUUGACUGAUGGUAUAAAACCUGGAGCUCUGUCAUUUACCGUGAAGAAGGAAAUAAUAAGCAAGGAAAACAGAGAGAAAAUUAUGAAUGGCACCUGGUCUCUGGAUAAGAUCAUCCAGAUUCUCAUGGACAUCCCUGGAUUGUAAAAGUAGAAUCACAUUCUUCACAUAAAGAGGAUGCUUCUCUGGUCUGCCGGAACAAUACUGGCCAUUUUAUCUAAAAUCUGUACAUAACCUUAGAAAGAGGAAUGUUAUCACCCAUACCUGACUUAGAAUUUUAAAUACAAGAAUAUCCUCUAUUAGAAAAUUCUUACUGUCUAUUUGAACUCCCAUAGUAUAUCUUUAUGAAAGUUGUGUAAGUGUCUUAAAAGGUUCAGAUCAAGGUUGAGAUUAGGUGACUUGACCCCAGACUAUGUAUUUCUAUUAAACCAAAUGGAAUAGAAA